This 248-nucleotide long non-coding RNA is filed under the name Linum usitatissimum (flax). RNAcentral's name for it is "long non-coding RNA (LUSI_LNC000540)". Lineage: Eukaryota; Viridiplantae; Streptophyta; Magnoliopsida; Malpighiales; Linaceae. The record is from RNAcentral.
AACGGCGGCCGAUUCUUAUUCUGAGAGUCGGAUGAAGAGUUAACGGCGAGGAGGGAAUCGUCCUUCCGCAUCCUCACGCUCACCAGGUCGUCCCAAAUGUCGAGGUCAUCGUCGUCCUCGAUGGAGGACACGUAGUCGUCCAACUUGCGCUUCGCCGAGGCGCGGUACUCGCUGGAGGCGGCGGCGGCGCCACUGACGACGGGGCUGGCAGCAGUGCGAUGAGAGGGACUAUCGCUGGCCGAUGAUCG